GCGAACGCUGGCGGCAGGCCUAACACAUGCAAGUCGAACGAAGUCUUCGGACUUAGUGGCGGACGGGUGAGUAACACGUGGGAACGUGCCCUUUGGUACGGAAUAACUCAGGGAAACUUGAGCUAAUACCGUAUGUGCCCUUCGGGGGAAAGAUUUAUCGCCAUUGGAGCGGCCCGCGUCUGAUUAGCUAGUUGGUGGUGUAAUGGACCACCAAGGCGACGAUCAGUAGCUGGUCUGAGAGGAUGAUCAGCCACAUUGGGACUGAGACACGGCCCAAACUCCUACGGGAGGCAGCAGUGGGGAAUCUUGCGCAAUGGGCGAAAGCCUGACGCAGCCAUGCCGCGUGAAUGAUGAAGGUCUUAGGAUUGUAAAAUUCUUUCACCGGGGACGAUAAUGACGGUACCCGGAGAAGAAGCCCCGGCUAACUUCGUGCCAGCAGCCGCGGUAAUACGAAGGGGGCUAGCGUUGCUCGGAAUUACUGGGCGUAAAGGGAGCGUAGGCGGACAUUUAAGUCAGGGGUGAAAUCCCGGGGCUCAACCUCGGAAUUGCCUUUGAUACUGGGUGUCUUGAGUAUGAGAGAGGUGUGUGGAACUCCGAGUGUAGAGGUGAAAUUCGUAGAUAUUCGGAAGAACACCAGUGGCGAAGGCGACACACUGGCUCAUUACUGACGCUGAGGCUCGAAAGCGUGGGGAGCAAACAGGAUUAGAUACCCUGGUAGUCCACGCCGUAAACGAUGAUUGCUAGUUGUCGGGAUGCAUGCAUUUCGGUGACG
Molecule: ribosomal RNA, 772 nt
Filed under: Caulobacteraceae bacterium
Lineage: Bacteria; Pseudomonadati; Pseudomonadota; Alphaproteobacteria; Caulobacterales; Caulobacteraceae
Description: bacterial SSU rRNA
Rfam family: Bacterial small subunit ribosomal RNA
Source: RNAcentral